CCCCCCCCCCCCCCAAAUCCGACGCCGGCCUACGACCCCUCAGCCGGCGGCGGCUAUGGCGUUCGGCGAGCGCAUCACCACCUUCGAGGACAGCGAGAAGGAGAGCGAGUACGGAUACGUCCGCAAGGUCUCUGGACCUGUGGUUGUGGCUGAUGGAAUGGGUGGUGCUGCCAUGUAUGAACUUGUUCGUGUUGGUCAUGACAACCUCAUUGGGGAAAUUAUUGUCUUGAGGGUGCCUCAGCUACAAUUCAAGUUUAUGAGGAAACAGCUGGGCUGAUGGUAAAUGACCCAGUGUUGAGAACAAGAAAGCCUCUCUCAGUUGAAUUGGGGCCUGGCAUUCUUGGCAACAUUUUUGACGGGAUUCAGCGCCCUCUAAAAACCAUUGCUAUUAAAUCUGGGGAUGUGUAUAUACCACGCGGUGUAUCAGUCCCUGCCCUUGACAAAGAUCAGCUGUGGGAAUUUCAGCCAAACAAGCUAGGCGUUGGAGAUGCCAUCACGGGUGGAGAUUUAUAUGCUACUGUAUUUGAGAAUACACUGAUGGAACACCAUGUUGCCCUUCCUCCUGGUUCUAUGGGGAAAAUAAGCUACAUUGCCCCUGCUGGUCAAUACAGUUUGCAGGAUACAGUUUUGGAACUGGAAUUUCAAGGGAUCAAAAAGCAAUUUACUAUGCUCCAGACAUGGCCUGUGCGCUCACCAAGGCCUGUUGCAUCAAAGCUUGCUGCCGAUACACCUCUCUUAACAGGACAGCGUGUGCUCGAUGCAUUGUUUCCCUCAGUGCUUGGAGGGACAUGUGCUAUUCCUGGGGCAUUUGGUUGUGGAAAAACUGUCAUUAGUCAGGCACUUUCAAAGUAUUCCAAUUCUGAAGCUGUGGUUUAUGUGGGCUGUGGGGAACGAGGGAAUGAGAUGGCUGAGGUCCUUAUGGAUUUCCCUCAAUUGACAAUGACAUUGAAGGAUGGACGUGAAGAAUCAGUCAUGAAAAGAACAACUCUUGUGGCUAACACCUCAAACAUGCCUGUUGCUGCUCGUGAAGCAUCCAUUUAUACAGGAAUUACAAUUGCUGAAUACUUCCGUGAUAUGGGCUAUAAUGUGAGUAUGAUGGCUGAUUCUACUUCUCGAUGGGCUGAAGCAUUGCGUGAAAUUUCAGGACGCUUGGCCGAAAUGCCUGCGGAUAGUGGUUACCCCGCAUAUUUGGCUUCACGUUUGGCGUCGUUUUAUGAACGUGCUGGGAAGGUCAAAUGUCUUGGCAGUCCAGAUCGGACUGGCAGUGUCACAAUUGUUGGUGCUGUCUCUCCUCCUGGUGGUGAUUUCUCAGAUCCUGUUACCUCUGCAACCCUUAGUAUUGUGCAGGUGUUCUGGGGAUUGGAUAAGAAACUGGCUCAAAGGAAGCAUUUCCCAUCUGUGAAUUGGCUCAUUUCGUAUUCAAAAUAUGCCAAGGCUCUGGAAUCCUUCUACGAAAAGUUUGAUCCAGACUUCAUUGAUAUUAGGACAAAAGCUCGUGAAGUGUUACAGAGAGAGGAUGAUCUAAAUGAAAUUGUCCAGCUUGUUGGCAAAGAUGCUCUGGCAGAAACUGACAAGAUUACUCUGGAGACAGCAAAGCUCCUUAGGGAAGAUUACUUGGCCCAGAAUGCAUUUACACCAUAUGACAAGUAUUGCCCAUUCUACAAAUCUGUUUGGAUGAUGCGCAACAUUAUUCACUUCAACACAUUAGCGAACCAGGCUGUGGAACGAGCCGCCAAUGUUGAUGGACAAAAGAUAACCUACAGCGUUAUAAAGCAUCGUCUCGGUGACCUUUUCUACCGUCUAGUUUCCCAGAAAUUCGAGGAUCCUGCAGAAGGUGAAGAUGCCCUAGUCGCAAAAUUCCAGAAACUGUAUGAUGAUCUUACUGCCGGAUUCCGCAACCUAGAAGAUGAAGCACGAUGAAUAUUGUAAAUCCCGCAUAGACAAUAUGACCACCAAAUUCCCUGGAAGGUUCUGGGAGCAGUCUGUUUAGCAAGCCUGAGGUUGUAGAUGUAAAUUACGUAUCAGAUUUCCCCCUACAAACGCUGUUAUUUUUUGUUAAUUCCCUUUGCCCUCCGGUUAUCGAUGGACACACCGUUUUGAUGUACCAUUAUUUAUUGUAAGAUGCUUGUGCACAUGUUCAUAGUUGAAUAAGCACGAUGCCCCUCUGCUCGAACAGCAGUAUAUAUAUUUUGUUUGUGAACUUUUA
Molecule: RNA transcript, 2206 nt
Organism: Panicum virgatum (switchgrass)
Lineage: Eukaryota; Viridiplantae; Streptophyta; Magnoliopsida; Poales; Poaceae
Gene name: V-type proton ATPase catalytic subunit A-like
Exons: 19
Source: RefSeq, a predicted model, not a curated record